RNAcentral lists this ribosomal RNA (601 nucleotides) under Comamonas thiooxydans. Its description in RNAcentral is "partial 16S rRNA". The record is from RNAcentral. Lineage: Bacteria; Pseudomonadati; Pseudomonadota; Betaproteobacteria; Burkholderiales; Comamonadaceae.
UGAGCGUCAGUGCAGGCCCAGGGGAUUGCCUUCGCCAUCGGUGUUCCUCCGCAUAUCUACGCAUUUCACUGCUACACGCGGAAUUCCAUCCCCCUCUGCCGCACUCUAGCCUUGCAGUCACAAUGGCAGUUCCCAGGUUGAGCCCGGGGAUUUCACCACUGUCUUACAAAACCGCCUGCGCACGCUUUACGCCCAGUAAUUCCGAUUAACGCUUGCACCCUACGUAUUACCGCGGCUGCUGGCACGUAGUUAGCCGGUGCUUAUUCUUACGGUACCGUCAUGACCCGGGGAUAUUAGCCCCAGGCUUUUCGUUCCGUACAAAAGCAGUUUACAACCCGAGGGCCUUCAUCCUGCACGCGGCAUUGCUGGAUCAGGCUUUCGCCCAUUGUCCAAAAUUCCCCACUGCUGCCUCCCGUAGGAGUCUGGGCCGUGUCUCAGUCCCAGUGUGGCUGGUCGUCCUCUCAGACCAGCUACAGAUCGCAGGCUUGGUAAGCCUUUACCCCACCAACUACCUAAUCUGCCAUCAGCCGCUCUAGUAGCACAAGGCCCGAAGGUCCCCUGCUUUCAUCCGUAGAUCUCAUGCGGUAUUAGCUACUCUUUC